This 253-nucleotide ribosomal RNA is filed under the name uncultured bacterium. RNAcentral describes it as "partial 16S ribosomal RNA". It matches the Rfam family "Bacterial small subunit ribosomal RNA", at positions 524 to 776 of the family's 1533-position model. The record is from RNAcentral.
UACGAAGGGGGCUAGCGUUGCUCGGAAUUACUGGGCGUAAAGCGCACGUAGGCGGUCUUUUAAGUCGGGGGUGAAAUCCUGGAGCUCAACUCCAGAACUGCCUUCGAUACUGGCAGGCUUGAAUUCGGGAGAGGGAUGUGGAAUUCCAGGUGUAGCGGUGAAAUGCGUAGAUAUCUGGAGGAACACCGGUGGCGAAGGCGGCAUCCUGGACCGAUAUUGACGCUGAUGCGCGAAAGCGUGGGGAUCAAACAGG